Anneissia japonica is the source of this 208-nucleotide long non-coding RNA. RefSeq lists it as uncharacterized. The record is from RefSeq and is a predicted model, not a curated record. The transcript has 3 exons. NCBI's taxonomy places the organism in Eukaryota, Metazoa, Echinodermata, Crinoidea, Comatulida, Comatulidae.
CUAUUUCAAAUCGAUUUUAAGCUCCUACAAUUAACGUGGGCAAUAUCGGUUUACUACUCAUUGCCUUCGUUGACUUUGGGUGACAGGCAAUGCCGGAUUCAAACGAGCAGGCACAAGACGUGUGUUUAAUCUAGUAUGGUGAAGAUGGUUAGCCUUUGCUUUUUUAUUAUUUUGACAAUGCCAAUGCAUAUAACUGCCGGGAAUGGUA